Molecule: RNA transcript, 1972 nt
Organism: Triticum aestivum (bread wheat)
Lineage: Eukaryota; Viridiplantae; Streptophyta; Magnoliopsida; Poales; Poaceae
Gene name: calcium uptake protein, mitochondrial-like
Exons: 8
Source: RefSeq, a predicted model, not a curated record
CCGCCCCCCCUGCCGACGCCGACGCGCCCACAACCCGUCCCAUUUUCUCCCCUUCUCUUCCCCCAGUGCUCCGCGCAUCGACGCAUCGCCGCCUCCUCCCUCCCCCAGAAGCCGGACAGGGUCCACACUCUCCUCCUCCUCCCUCCGCACCACCAUCAUAACCGCCAAGUCGUCAUCCGCGCCGCCCGCCGAAACCGGGAGCUGCGAAUCCGACGCCCAUGGCACCCUUGAGACUCCUCCGGUCCGCCGUCGGACGGCUCAGGACGGCGGCGCCCGCCGGCCGCGCAGCUUUCUCCAGCGCCGCCGCCACGACGGAGGCCAAGGCGACCGUCCGCGAGGGGGUGAUCGCCGCCGCCGCCGCGGCCGUCGCCGGGUCCGGGCUGGGGCUCUGGCUCAUGCCGCCGGCGCUCGCGGACUCCGGGGAGCUGGCCCGCGCCGCCGCGCCCGGGCAGAUCGCCGCGGCCGGGCAGAUCGCCGCGGCCGGGCAGAUCUCGGCGGCCGCCGGCGCCGUCGAGGAGCGGCACGAGAAGCCCAAGAGGUUCCUGCUCGCAGACUCAUACCGCCGAAGGGUGUUCUUCAACUACGAGAAAAGGAUACGGCUUCGCAGCCCUCCUGAAAAGAUUUUUGAGUAUUUCGCGUCUGUGCGAAAACCGGAUGGGGAAAUGUUCAUGUUGCCUGCCGACUUGAUGAGAGCGGUGGUCCCUGUUUCCCUCCAUCGGAGUCGAACGUCGUGCGGGAAGGGAGGCUAAGGGGGGAACCCAGCCCCGGAGAGUUGCACUGUGCUCCAUCCAAAUUCUUCGUUCUAUUCGACACGAACACCGAUGGUCUCAUCUCGUUUGCCGAGUACAUCUUCUUUGUUACAUUACUCAGCAUUCCUGAGUCAAGCUUCAGUGCGGCCUUCAAAAUGUUCGACGUUGAUCUCAGUGGGGAGAUAGACAAAGAAGAGUUCAAGAAAGUAAUGGCAUUGAUGCGGUCCUAUAACAGACAAGGAGCUGCCCAUAGGCAUGGCUUACGUACAGGAUUUAAAGUUGGCCAGUCUGUGGAAAAUGGUGGGGUGGUUGAGUAUUUCUUUGGUAAUGAUGGGAAUGAACCUUUACACUUUGAUAAGUUCACAAGUUUUUUGAAGGAAUUGCAUGAAGAGAUUAUUCGUCUGGAAUUCAGUCAUUAUGAUGUCAAGUCGACAAACACCAUCCCUGCAAAGGAUUUUGCACUGUCCAUGGUUGCUUCUGCUGACAUGAAUCACAUUAGCAAGCUACUUGAUAGAGCUGAUACGUUGGGCAAUGACCCUUAUCUCAAGAACUUGCGCAUUACCUUUGAGGAGUUCAAGGCAUUUGCUGAUUUACGUCGAAGAUUGGAAUCAUUGACGAUGGCUAUAUUUGCUUAUGGUCAAGUAAAUGGGCUGCUGACAAAGCAGGAUCUGAAGCGUGCAGCUCAGCAUGUCUGUGGUGUUGAAUUAACCGACAGAGUGGUAGACAUCAUUUUCCAUGUGUUUGACAUGAACAAUGAUGGGCACCUGAGCUCAGAGGAGUUUCUGAGAGCACUACAAAGACGAGAAGCCGAUAUUCAUCAGCCAGCGGCACGAGGAGGUCCCAUGGGCUGGCUGAACCCUAAAAACCGCUCUUCGCUUCUGCAGAUGCUGCGCUAGUAGAGUUUUUGAUUGUCGCAAGAUCUUUUCUUCUUUAGCUUUGGGUUAGGUACCAUCUGAAUGGUAUGUCUGCCUAGUGUAGGUCACAUAAGAUUAGUUCAUCCAGUCUUGUUAUAGUAUCCUGUUCUGUCACUUGUGCUCAGGAGUGGGAGGAGAUUUUGCUGUAAAUAUUAUGUAGGUAUAGCGGUUGAUCCGGUUGUAAAUAGUGUAUUUGUUAUAGUCUCUCAGUACAUGGUGAUGUGUUGUAUCAGUAUAGGAGGGUGUAAGUUUCAAACCUUGUCCAUUUUUGCCGUUCCUUUUUUAUUGAUUUAUAGAUGCAUUUCAUAA